GAUGAAAACGCAGCGAAAUGCGAUAAGUAGUGUGAAUUGCAGAAUUCAGUGAAUCAUCGAAUCUUUGAACGCACAUUGCGCCCCUUGGUAUUCCAUGGGGCAUGCCUGUUCGAGCGUCAUUUGUACCUUCAAGCUCUGCUUGGUGUUGGGUGUUUGUCUCGCCUCUGCGUGUAGACUCGCCUUAAAACAAUUGGCAGCCGGCGUAUUGAUUUCGGAGCGCAGUACAUCUCGCGCUUUGCACUCAUAACGACGACGUCCAAAAGUACAUUUUUACACUCUUGACCUCGGAUCAGGUAGGGAUACCCGCUGAACUUAAGCAUAUCAAUAAGCGGAGGA
This 336-nucleotide unclassified non-coding RNA is filed under the name soil metagenome. RNAcentral's name for it is "partial contains 5.8S ribosomal RNA, internal transcribed spacer 2, and large subunit ribosomal RNA". The stretch from base 1 to 119 matches the Rfam family "5.8S ribosomal RNA", at positions 35 to 154 of the family's 154-position model. The record is from RNAcentral.